This 69-nucleotide transfer RNA is filed under the name Dipodomys ordii (Ord's kangaroo rat). It matches the Rfam family "tRNA". From Rfam's summary of the family: Transfer RNA (tRNA) molecules are approximately 80 nucleotides in length. Their secondary structure includes four short double-helical elements and three loops (D, anti-codon, and T loops). The record is from Rfam by way of RNAcentral. Lineage: Eukaryota; Metazoa; Chordata; Mammalia; Rodentia; Heteromyidae.
GGUAUGGCUCAGUGGUGGAGUACCUGUCUGGCAAGUAGGAGGCCCAGAGUUCAAACCUCAGUACUAACA